This 77-nucleotide transfer RNA is filed under the name Pacificimonas flava. RNAcentral's name for it is "tRNA-Ile". It matches the Rfam family "tRNA". Rfam says of the family: Transfer RNA (tRNA) molecules are approximately 80 nucleotides in length. RNAcentral also lists the same sequence under 4 other names. The record is from RNAcentral. Lineage: Bacteria; Pseudomonadati; Pseudomonadota; Alphaproteobacteria; Sphingomonadales; Sphingosinicellaceae.
GGGCCGGUAGCUCAGGUGGUUAGAGCGCACGCCUGAUAAGCGUGAGGUCGGAGGUUCGAGUCCUCCUCGGCCCACCA